Cannabis sativa is the source of this 663-nucleotide long non-coding RNA. RefSeq lists it as uncharacterized. Lineage: Eukaryota; Viridiplantae; Streptophyta; Magnoliopsida; Rosales; Cannabaceae. The record is from RefSeq and is a predicted model, not a curated record. The transcript has 2 exons.
CCUCUUCUAAACUGACCAUUCUCUUACUCCUCUUCUUAGUUAGGCAGUGACCCAACCGGCGACCUCCCCUCUCUUCUUCGUCUUCUGCUUAAUCGGGCGGUAACCCAACCCCCGGGGCCUCCUCCUCUCUUCUUCGUCCAGUGUGUAAAGGUUUUCGAUCUUUCAAAGGAGAUGCCAUUAAACUAUGUGUAGGUUGUGCAAGCUUUGAUAAGUUUCUAGACUUUGAGCAAAGAGGAAUAAUUUUUCAAGAACUUGCAUAUGCAUAAUAUAUUGGUAAGCUCUCAUUAUUACAGAGAAAAGAUGAAGAGAAAUCAAACUUUUUUCUUUUUGUAAGAAAUUAUUGUACUCAAAAUUGUUUUUUCUUAUUCUUAGCUGCCCAAGAAAAUAUUUUGAUAAAAGAUUAGGGAUUCUUGGUGAGUAUUUCAGUUGAGUUUAGUGCUUAAGUUAUUUCCAGUACAGAAUUUUGUGUGUUCAUUUUUUUCAAUAUAAUUUUUUUGCUUUUGUGAUUCUUAUGUAGAUGAUGUAGUGUAAAAUCCCACCCCUAACCAUUCAUUGAAGUAGUUUUGUAGUAUUAGGGUUAUAGUUUGUACCAUAUGAGGUUGUAACCUAUACGGCUUUGUACAUACUAGAAAUAUUUAUGGAAUAGAUCUCUUUUUCAUAAUA